CAGGCCUAACACAUGCAAGUCGAACGAACCCUUCGGGGUUAGUGGCGCACGGGUGCGUAACGCGUGGGAAUCUGCCCUUUGCUUCGGAAUAACAGUUAGAAAUGACUGCUAAUACCGGAUGAUGUCUUCGGACCAAAGAUUUAUCGGCAAGGGAUGAGCCCGCGUAGGAUUAGGUAGUUGGUGGGGUAAAGGCCUACCAAGCCGACGAUCCUUAGCUGGUCUGAGAGGAUGAUCAGCCACACUGGGACUGAGACACGGCCCAGACUCCUACGGGAGGCAGCAGUGGGGAAUAUUGGACAAUGGGCGCAAGCCUGAUCCAGCAAUGCCGCGUGAGUGAUGAAGGCCUUCGGGUCGUAAAGCUCUUUUACCAGGGAUGAUAAUGACAGUACCUGGAGAAUAGCUCC
This 404-nucleotide ribosomal RNA is filed under the name uncultured bacterium. Its description in RNAcentral is "bacterial SSU rRNA". It matches the Rfam family "Bacterial small subunit ribosomal RNA", at positions 43 to 494 of the family's 1533-position model. The record is from RNAcentral.